CCAAACCAACCACCAGGUUUUUAUUGCGGUAUUCUUACAAUCCCAGGAUUUUGCUUUUUUUUUUUAAAGAAAUAUUUUUGGUUUUGAACUCAUAAAUGGUUAUAGCAUACAUCAUUGGCAUUUGUUCAAACUAGGGCUACUGGCCCAAUUUAUUCUGGCCUAGGCCCAACCUAGGUUUAAUGUUCAAAAUAAAAAGAGCCCAACUUGCGGCCUGCCUC
RNAcentral lists this long non-coding RNA (218 nucleotides) under Elaeis guineensis (African oil palm). RNAcentral describes it as "long non-coding RNA (EGUI_LNC025652)". The record is from RNAcentral. Lineage: Eukaryota; Viridiplantae; Streptophyta; Magnoliopsida; Arecales; Arecaceae.